GGCCCAUAUAUCACUGUCAUAGACUGCCCUAACCUACAAAUGCAGGAACAAGCAGUUCUGUUUUCGCCAUGCCCAUAUUUCUUUGACAAACAUGUACCCCUUAUUGUCGUCAUAUGCUCACAUAUGCAUGGGGAUGGUAUGAGCAUGCGCGCAAAAGGAUAUACAGUCAAUUUUUUUACCCAUGCCUUUAGUUUUUUUUUUCAUUUUUUUGACUUUAUGUAUAAAACAAAUAAUAAAUAUACUUAUCUUUCAGUAAUAAACAAAUAUUCAUACCGCUAAGUUAUUGAUAUAGUUUUGAUUAUGAACAAAGCUUAUUUUUGUUAUAAGCUAGAUCAACCAUUUAUCUAUUUAAUUAAAUAAUAAGCAAAUUUUCAACAAGUUGUAUGUAAGUACCAAUGCAAUUCUCGACAAAGACUGUAACCCAAUUUAAACUAUAGAUAUUAUCAAUCAAAUCUAAAAUUAUGGUGUGCCUUACAAUAUAUGGAUGAAAUUUUUCUAUCAAAGUACUAUUUUUGGAUAUGGAUUUAAUAGGAUACUAUCAUAUUAUCGCCAAUUAAUACUAAUUGAUAUUAUAUAUUUCGUGUUCAUCAAAAUAAAUUAUAAAAAUUAAAUUUUAUAAAAAUAAUAAAACAUAAAUAGAUAUGUAAUAUUUCUAUAAUACUUGUUUUUUCUUGCGUUGUAACGUACUGAUAUUUUUACUAAAAAAUUAUUAAUGAUUGAUCAUGGGCGAGGACACACAACAGCAAUAUCAACCAAUUAAUCGACCGAUCGAUGGAGACGAAAUUUGCAUGAUUGAUUGGUCGCUUUCUUGGAUUUAGCCAUCAUGUGAGUAUGCCGGCCCAUACAAUGCCUGCCCCUGUCUCUCCCAGCUAAAUUUUGUCCAUCAUCAUGCAUAUCCAUCCAUCCAUCGAGUGCGUCUACUAUAUACAUGAUGAUGAAUAUGUGGUGCACCUCUCCACCUCCUAAUAACGAGGAUUGCAUUUAUUUACUCUAUCUGAUUAUGAUUUUUCUAAGUCAUCGAUGUCACAGCGAUCUUCGUGAAUUCUGCAAUUAUAGAUAGAUCAGAAACUCUCUUUUUUUUAAUAAUAAACCUUGUUGAAGCUAUGUUUUUUUGGACAAUGCUACGGUACACCCAUUACUUACUAAAAGGUAAUAUCUUAAAUAAAUCUAAACCAUUGAUUUUUUAGAUUUUUAAAUGAAUUAAUAAAUCUAGAAAAUUAAAAAUAUUCUCAAAUCCCUCUAAUCACGGGAGAGGCCGGUGGGCAUGCAAACCCUUUCCUUGUUCAUCUGCAUGUGCAUGGCCUUAUUCUUCCUUUCACUCUCGCUAUAUUCUUUUCCUUUCACUCUUGCUCUAUGCAUAAUAUUUUUUUUCUUAGAUGUGAUCAACUUUUUUGUAAUAUUAAGUUAUGUUAAAAAGGUACACUGGUCAUGUUUCAUACUUGACUAAAAAACAUAUGUAACAUACAUGAAAAAUAUCAACAUCUAGCACCUUAAUUGAGUUGUGAACUUUAGCAAUUUAAUACAUGUUACACACCAACACGAUACAUAAUCGAACGUGCGCAUACACACACAUUUAAAUCUGGUUACGUGUCUGAGUUACAAAUGCAUCA
RNAcentral lists this long non-coding RNA (1610 nucleotides) under Sorghum bicolor (sorghum). RNAcentral describes it as "long non-coding RNA (SBIC_LNC011518)". Lineage: Eukaryota; Viridiplantae; Streptophyta; Magnoliopsida; Poales; Poaceae. The record is from RNAcentral.